Molecule: small nuclear RNA, 18 nt
Filed under: Arabidopsis thaliana (thale cress)
Lineage: Eukaryota; Viridiplantae; Streptophyta; Magnoliopsida; Brassicales; Brassicaceae
Description: snRNA_06896
Source: RNAcentral
AAGGCACGUGUCGUUGGC